AUUGAACGCUGGCGGCAUGCCUUACACAUGCAAGUCGAACGGCAGCACGGGAGCAAUCCUGGUGGCGAGUGGCGAACGGGUGAGUAAUAUAUCGGAACGUGCCCAGUCGUGGGGGAUGACGCAGCGAAAGCUGUGCUAAUACCGCAUACGAUCUAUGGAUGAAAGCGGGGGACCGUAAGGCCUCGCGCGAUUGGAGCGGCCGAUAUCAGAUUAGCUAGUUGGUGGGGUAAAGGCCCACCAAGGCGACGAUCUGUAGCUGGUCUGAGAGGACGACCAGCCACACUGGAACUGAGACACGGUCCAGACUCCUACGGGAGGCAGCAGUGGGGAAUUUUGGACAAUGGGCGCAAGCCUGAUCCAGCAAUGCCGCGUGCAGGAUGAAGGCCUUCGGGUUGUAAACUGCUUUUGUACGGAGCGAAACGGUUCUCUUUAAUACAGGGGGCUAAUGACGGUACCGUAAGAAUAAGCACCGGCUAACUACGUGCCAGCCGCCGCGGUAA
Molecule: ribosomal RNA, 500 nt
Filed under: uncultured bacterium
Lineage: Bacteria
Description: partial 16S ribosomal RNA
Rfam family: Bacterial small subunit ribosomal RNA
Source: RNAcentral